This 423-nucleotide long non-coding RNA is filed under the name Cyanistes caeruleus (blue tit). RNAcentral describes it as "lncRNA (ENSCCEG00000015711.1)". Lineage: Eukaryota; Metazoa; Chordata; Aves; Passeriformes; Paridae. The record is from RNAcentral.
UUACUUUCCCUAUUAAAAUGUCUUUAUCUCAGCAUUCCAGAUCUCUCCCCAGUCCUGUUAGUGAGGGAGUGAGCUGAUGGCUCUCUGGGACUUGGUUGAUGGCUGAAGUUAUAACAUGACACUUCUCUGUGUGCCCCUUCUUGAGAAUGGAGGACUGCAGUCACCCUUCAUCCCUACAGCCAUCUGGGCUAAAACACUGGCUUUGGGCUCCAUGAUGAAGAGCCACAAGCAGAGGCUGUGGAGCACUAGUCACACAUUACUGAAGUGUUUGGGAGAAAAAAAUAUCCAGGUCUGGACUUUUGAGUUCAGCUUGUCUUUCAUCCCAAGACUCAGACCAUCAGUAAGAAAAAUACCAGCUGCUGUUUAAGGAGAAAUACAAGAAUUUUUGACUACAAGAUCAAAUAGAACAUCAGAUAAAAGGAG